This 524-nucleotide non-coding RNA is filed under the name Oceanospirillum linum. Its description in RNAcentral is "Bacterial large subunit ribosomal RNA". It matches the Rfam family "Bacterial large subunit ribosomal RNA", at positions 1 to 572 of the family's 2925-position model. The record is from Rfam by way of RNAcentral. Lineage: Bacteria; Pseudomonadati; Pseudomonadota; Gammaproteobacteria; Oceanospirillales; Oceanospirillaceae.
GGUCAAGCAACUAAGCGCAUACGGUGGAUGCCUUGGCAGUCAGAGGCGAUGAAGGACGUAGAAACCUGCGAAAAGCCUCGGGGAGCUGGUAAACAAGCUUUGAUCCGAGGAUCUCCGAAUGGGGAAACCCACCCAGUGUAAGCUGGGUAUCGUAUCGUGAAUACAUAGCGAUGCGAGGCGAACCCGGGGAACUGAAACAUCUAAGUACCCGGAGGAAAAGAAAUCAACCGAGAUUCCGAAAGUAGCGGCGAGCGAAAUCGGAUUAGCCCUUAAGCUCUAGUGUAGAUAGUGGAACGCUCUGGGAAGUGCGGCCAUAGUGGGUGAUAGCCCCGUACACGACAUCUUAUCAAGAGUGAAAUCGAGUAGGGCGGGACACGUGAAAUCCUGUCUGAAUAUGGGGGGGACCAUCCUCCAAGGCUAAAUACUACUGACUGACCGAUAGUGAACCAGUACCGUGAGGGAAAGGCGAAAAGAACCCCUGUGAGGGGAGUGAAACAGAACCUGAAACCGUAUGCGUACAAGCA